This 432-nucleotide ribosomal RNA is filed under the name uncultured bacterium. RNAcentral describes it as "partial 16S ribosomal RNA". It matches the Rfam family "Bacterial small subunit ribosomal RNA", at positions 29 to 506 of the family's 1533-position model. The record is from RNAcentral.
AACGAACGCUGGCGGCAUGCCUAACACAUGCAAGUCGAACGAGACCUUCGGGUCUAGUGGCGCACGGGUGCGUAACGCGUGGGAACCUGCCCUUAGGUUCGGAAUAACUCAGAGAAAUUUGAGCUAAUACCGGAUAAUGUCUUCGGACCAAAGAUUUAUCGCCUUUGGAUGGGCCCGCGUAGGAUUAGCUUGUUGGUGGGGUAAUGGCCUACCAAGGCGACGAUCCUUAGCUGGUCUGAGAGGAUGAUCAGCCACACUGGGACUGAGACACGGCCCAGACUCCUACGGGAGGCAGCAGUGGGGAAUAUGGGACAAUGGGCGAAAGCCUGAUCCAGCAAUGCCGCGUGAGUGAUGAAGGCCUUAGGGUUGUAAAGCUCUUUUACCAGGGAUGAUAAUGACAGUACCUGGAGAAUAAGCUCCGGCUAACUCCGU